ACGGGUGAGUAACACGUGGGUAACCUGCCUGUAAGACUGGGAUAACUCCGGGAAACCGGGGCUAAUACCGGAUGGUUGUUUGAACCGCAUGGUUCAAACAUAAAAGGUGGCUUCGGCUACCACUUACAGAUGGACCCGCGGCGCAUUAGCUAGUUGGUGAGGUAACGGCUCACCAAGGCAACGAUGCGUAGCCGACCUGAGAGGGUGAUCGGCCACACUGGGACUGAGACACGGCCCAGACUCCUACGGGAGGCAGCAGUAGGGAAUCUUCCGCAAUGGACGAAAGUCUGACGGAGCAACGCCGCGUGAGUGAUGAAGGUUUUCGGAUCGUAAAGCUCUGUUGUUAGGGAAGAACAAGUACCGUUCGAAUAGGGCGGUACCUUGACGGUACCUAACCAGAAAGCCACGGCUAACUACGUGCCAGCAGCCGCGGUAAUACGUAGGUGGCAAGCGUUGUCCGGAAUUAUUGGGCGUAAAGGGCUCGCAGGCGGUUUCUUAAGUCUGAUGUGAAAGCCCCCGGCUCAACCGGGGAGGGUCAUUGGAAACUGGGGAACUUGAGUGCAGAAGAGGAGAGUGGAAUUCCACGUGUAGCGGUGAAAUGCGUAGAGAUGUGGAGGAACACCAGUGGCGAAGGCGACUCUCUGGUCUGUAACUGACGCUGAGGAGCGAAAGCGUGGGGAGCGAACAGGAUUAGAUACCCUGGUAGUCCACGCCGUAAACGAUGAGUGCUAAGUGUUAGGGGGUUUCCGCCCCU
This 754-nucleotide ribosomal RNA is filed under the name Bacillus subtilis. RNAcentral describes it as "bacterial SSU rRNA". It matches the Rfam family "Bacterial small subunit ribosomal RNA", at positions 102 to 841 of the family's 1533-position model. The record is from RNAcentral. Lineage: Bacteria; Bacillati; Bacillota; Bacilli; Caryophanales; Bacillaceae.